Molecule: ribosomal RNA, 253 nt
Filed under: uncultured bacterium
Lineage: Bacteria
Description: partial 16S ribosomal RNA
Rfam family: Bacterial small subunit ribosomal RNA
Source: RNAcentral
UACGUAGGGUGCAAGCGUUAAUCGGAAUUACUGGGCGUAAAGCGUGCGCAGGCGGUUAUGUAAGACAGGUGGGAAAUCCCCGGGCUUAACCUGGGAACUGCAUUUGUGACUGCAUAGCUAGAGUACGGUAGAGGGGGAUGGAAUUCCGCGUGUAGCAGUGAAAUGCGUAGAUAUGCGGAGGAACACCGAUGGCGAAGGCAAUCCCCUGGACCUGUACUGACGCUCAUGCACGAAAGCGUGGGGAGCAAACAGG